AGAGUUUGAUCCUGGCUCAGAANNNACGCUGGCGGCAUGCCUAACACAUGCAAGUCGAACGCGUGUAGCAAUACACGAGUGGCGGACGGGUGAGUAACGCGUGGGAACCUGCCCAAUGGUAGGGAAUAACUGCGGGAAACUGCAGCUAAUACCCUAUGCUCCCUACGGGGGAAAGAUUUAUCGCCAUUGGAGGGGCCCGCGUCGGAUUAGCUAGUUGGCGGGGUAACGGCCCACCAAGGCUACGAUCCGUAGCUGGUCUGAGAGGAUGAUCAGCCACACUGGGACUGAGAUACGGCCCAGACUCCUACGGGAGGCAGCAGUGGGGAAUAUUGGACAAUGGGGGAAACCCUGAUCCAGCAAUGCCGCGUGAGUGAAGAAGGCCUUAGGGUUGUAAAGCUCUUUCGGCGGGGACGAUGGUGACGGUACCCGCAGAAGAAGCCCCGGCUAACUUCGUGCCAGCAGCCGCGGUAAUACGAAGGGGGCUAGCGUUGUUCGGAAUCACUGGGCGUAAAGGGCGCGUAGGCGGCGCGACAAGUCAGGCGUGAAAGCCCCGGGCUCAACCCGGGAAUUGCGCUUGAUACUGUCGUGCUUGAGGCCGGGAGAGGAUGGCGGAAUUCCCAGUGUAGAGGUGAAAUUCGUAGAUAUUGGGAAGAACACCGGUGGCGAAGGCGGCCAUCUGGACCGGUUCUGACGCUGAGGCGCGAAAGCGUGGGGAGCAAACAGGANUAGAUACCCUGGUAGUCCACGCCGUANACGAUGAGUGCUAGNC
Molecule: ribosomal RNA, 769 nt
Filed under: uncultured bacterium
Lineage: Bacteria
Description: bacterial SSU rRNA
Rfam family: Bacterial small subunit ribosomal RNA
Source: RNAcentral